GAUGAAGAACGCAGCGAAAUGCGAUAACUAAUGUGAAUUGCAGAAUUCAGUGAAUCAUCGAGUCUUUGAACGCACAUUGCGCCCCCUGGUAUUCCGGGGGCAUGCCUGUCCGAGCGUCAUUGCUGCCCUCAAGCACGGCUUGUGUGUUGGGCUCCGUCCCCCCGGGGACGGGUCCGAAAGGCAGCGGCGGCACCGAGUCCGGUCCUCGAGCGUAUGGGGCUUUGUCACCCGCUCUGUAGGCCCGGCCGGCGCCAGCCGACAACCAAUCAUCCUUUUUUCAGGUUGACCUCGGAUCAGGUAGGGAUACCCGCUGAACUUAAGCAUAUCAAUAAGCGGAGGA
Molecule: unclassified non-coding RNA, 340 nt
Filed under: soil metagenome
Description: partial contains 5.8S ribosomal RNA, internal transcribed spacer 2, and large subunit ribosomal RNA
Rfam family: 5.8S ribosomal RNA (bases 1-119)
Source: RNAcentral